Molecule: ribosomal RNA, 498 nt
Filed under: uncultured bacterium
Lineage: Bacteria
Description: bacterial SSU rRNA
Rfam family: Bacterial small subunit ribosomal RNA
Source: RNAcentral
AUUGAACGCUGGCGGAAUGCUUUACACAUGCAAGUCGAACGGCAGCACGGGGCAACCUGGUGGCGAGUGGCGAACGGGUGAGUAAUACAUCGGAACGUGCCCAAUCGUGGGGGAUAACGUAGCGAAAGCUACGCUAAUACCGCAUACGAUCUACGGAUGAAAGCGGGGGAUCGCAAGACCUCGCGCGAAUGGAGCGGCCGAUGGCAGAUUAGGUAGUUGGUGGGGUAAAGGCUCACCAAGCCUGCGAUCUGUAGCUGGUCUGAGAGGACGACCAGCCACACUGGAACUGAGACACGGUCCAGACUCCUACGGGAGGCAGCAGUGGGGAAUUUUGGACAAUGGGCGCAAGCCUGAUCCAGCCAUUCCGCGUGCAGGAUGAAGGCCCUCGGGUUGUAAACUGCUUUUGUACGGAACGAAAAGGCUUUCUCUAAUACAGGGGGCUCAUGACGGUACCGUAAGAAUAAGCACCGGCUAACUACGUGCCAGCAGCCGCGGUAA